RNAcentral lists this non-coding RNA (31 nucleotides) under Homo sapiens (human). The record is from RNAcentral. Lineage: Eukaryota; Metazoa; Chordata; Mammalia; Primates; Hominidae.
UGGAAACACCUCUCACGUUGGUCCUGUCCUG